GAAUGCCUCGCUCGGAUUGGCCUACUUCUUGGAUCGGACUGGACGGUGGCCAGAGGAGGACAAGAGACUUCUAUACGGUCUGGAGGGACGAUUUGGGUCACAUCUGAGACGGCGUUGCGCAUCAACAAGCGUCCAGGCUCCAGGGACAUGGCGGCGGCCUGUGUGAUGUCGGUGCUGCUGAUAGGCGACUGAGAGGAACCGGUGGCAGCUAGUCCAGAGCCUGCUGCUGCUGCUGCCGCCCUGGCAACGAUCCAAAAGAUACUUCUAGCACUUGGAUACUACCUGGGAGCAACUUGUCAUGCUUGCAUUGUAUGGAACAAGUGUUCAAAAUAGAAUGCAAAAACUGUAAGCUGAUGGAAGAGGCAGCACAUGACAUCCCUGGUACUCCAGGGAGAACAUUUGAUAUAGGAGAUACCUUUGUUGUGUCCCUUUCUGCCUUAGUGCCAAUCAAUAUGCUGAAGUCCUCAAAAAGUUCCUGAGAGAUCCAUUUCAAGUUCUAGUGAAGAAAGAACUGAUCUUUGAAAGGCGCUGACAGAAAGAAAGGGGAACUCCUUGAUAAGAAUUGGAAGCGGGAGUCAGUUUGGGAGGAAAGCUGUGGCCAUAAACAUUGAAGAAGACAAGAAGAUUCUUUGUGACACUAAGACUUUCUACCACACUACGGUAGAGGAAAUGGCAAAGACUGUGGCUGACCUAAUUUAAUUCCUGGAAUGAAAUGAUUAUGAAUGUAGUGCUUGCUGUUGCUGAACGGGCAAUCACAUUGUGCAUUGUGUUUCUUUUGGGGGUAAUAUGUGAAGCUUGUCUCAGUGCUCACAACAGAUUAAAAAUACAGAUUUUGAUAGCAAAGCAACUUCAGACAUGAUUUCAUGAUAUCAUUGGUUUUAUCCUCUUAUUUCCUAGUUCUCUACACAUGGUUUUAUUGAGUAUUUGCCAUCAUUUAAUAAUAUGGACUGAAAGAUAUAAAAGCAGCUAUUUAUAAAGUUUGUCUGCCUUUAUUGUAUUAGUCACUAACUGAAUAGAGCUAACUUUAAAAUGAUUUUUUAAGAAAAUACUUAAAUUUAUUUUGUUUGGUAUCAUUUUUUUCAGUAAGGCAUUUUAUUAGCAGUUAGUUGAAUGUUUAUUGAAUGUUCAAUAAAUUACAGUGAAGUGUUUUU
Molecule: long non-coding RNA, 1151 nt
Organism: Capra hircus (goat)
Lineage: Eukaryota; Metazoa; Chordata; Mammalia; Artiodactyla; Bovidae
Exons: 5
Source: RefSeq, a predicted model, not a curated record